UUUUUUUUUGGUACUGUCACAAGAUAGGUGUCAGAGUCGGAUCAUUUUCUCUGAAGAUGCAGAGUUCACUUCUCACACGAGUUAAGUUCAGAGAGUUCAAAGCUCUGCUUAGUUUCAGGAAAAACAUUUUAGCCAACGUAUAUGCAAACAUCAAAUGAAUCCCUGAAUGGAGACAAUCAAAAGUACCGCACCACAUUCUAAACUACUCCCUCCGUCCCAUAAUGUAAGACGUUUUUUUGACACCACACUAGAGUGAAAAGACGUCUUACAUUAUAGGACGGAGGGAGUAAAUGGCGUGAAUCCCUUAGUUUCGCAAUGUAUAUUCCCACGAACCUCAGUAAUGAAAGUUUUGGGAUGGGUGGGUACAGAAUAAUUUAACACAAUCAUUUUUUACUAUGCACGCCCAAGCAGUGUUUUUUAAGUUGCCUGGACAUCAAAGCUACCUCCCUCCGUUUUCAAAAUAGAUGACCCAACUCUAACUUUAGUAUAAUUUGGGCUAUUUUUGAACGGAGGGAGUAGUUCAGACGCUAGUUCAAAUUAUGAAGAACAAAUUUCAAACUACACGUAAAUUGCAAACUUCUACAACUGUGGUUCAGAUUUUGAAAUUAUGCUGCAACUGUGUGGUUCAGAUUUUGAAUAACAGUUAGAUUAUCUCAUACACCAAAUUCAGAAGGUUUGAAUAACAGUUAGAUUAUCUCACACACCAUAUUUUUAGGAGGAAAUUCAGAAGGACAGAGACAUCAAAGAUUAUUCAAAUAAUUGAAUAACUGUCGUAGAUAACAUUCAGAAGAGAUGUAUUUUUAUCACACAAAUCCUAAUAAUAGUUGUCAACAAGUCGGAUAAUAUGCCUGACUUGCGACGAAACAACAAGCAAACAGCUUCUUAACCAACCAACACGGCGAAAUGUCAGACAAUCCUUCCAAUCGCACUCCCAAAUCCAAACCCAAAGUAACAAACAGGCGGGCAGCUCAUUUGCACAAGUCGGUCGCAGGUGGGCGCAGGGCGACUCCUCCGAGCUUCUCGCUCGAGUACUUCUUGUAGACGACCUUCAGCUUGCUGUCAGGCGCGGUGGAGUGCGAGGCCACC
This 1086-nucleotide long non-coding RNA is filed under the name Triticum aestivum (bread wheat). Its description in RNAcentral is "long non-coding RNA (TAES_LNC000485)". Lineage: Eukaryota; Viridiplantae; Streptophyta; Magnoliopsida; Poales; Poaceae. The record is from RNAcentral.